GAGAUGUUUAAUUGAUGAAGAUGGAGAAUUGGCUAGCCUAUGAUGGGUGGCAUUGAAUGUGCUUUUGCUUAUUCACCAGGGCUUGGGAUCCACUGCUGUGUUUCCAUUUAUUUUGGUCAAUAUAGUAAUCGCUGGUGGAUGCCGAGGGAAUUUAUCAAGGUGAUUGCCGUGUGUUCGAUUCCAUUAAUUAUUUAAUUACAGUUUUUUUUAUCCCUACCUGAAAUUUCUUCCUUUCGGUGAACAAUCUAUUUGCGCGUCGCUGUCACAGCUGUUUUUUUAAAUUGAGAAUAAUAGAUGAUUAGGGGAUUAAAGUCAUUAACAUUAGAAAAUAAAACCAUAAUAAUUUUAGAUGAUUAUAGAUUAGAGUUAUUAAUAUUAGAAAAGAAAAUCAUUAAUAAUUUAAAACAACCUUUUUAUUAAUAUUUUUUUAUUGAUUUAUUAUUUUUGUUAUUUUUGUGACAGGUCAAUCUUCAGGUGGAUGUGAUAUUAUUUGUGAUAGUGAGGACGUGGUGAUUUUUCAGUAGAAGUCUAGAACAAAAUACAGUGAAAUCCCCCCAGCCGUACCAGAGAAACAUUUUACCUCCAAAAUUGGAAAAUUAUUAAUUAGUUCAUUGAAAUUAUUUUUUGUGCUGGGGAAGGUUUGCUUCGGGCUUGGGGAAACCUUCGUCCUCAUGGACCUUGUAAUUAUUCUCCACGGUCACUUUCUGCUUGCCUCCACCGAUCGAUUGGGCCCCCUCUGCAGCAGCAGCAGCGUUAAAGCUCUCAAAUUUUGUGCCGUGAACCCGUCGAACGCGGCUGCGUUUCUUUCAUUUGGCCCUAGCGAAUAGCCUCUCAUUGCCUCUCUCGCUCCUCUGACCCAAGCCGCCUUCUCAGCUAACGCCAGCAAGCCCAGGUCCCGGCACCAGUGCCGUCUUCGGCCAUUUAGUUCUCUGGAGGUGGAGAGGGCGUGGAUCGCUUUCGGGGCAUGCUCCGUCGCUUCCGGAUUUGAUGCGUCACUCGUUAACCAUCUACUUGCCAGCUGAAACGUCGUCUUCAAGGACUGGUUGGCUGUGUCGUCGUCCUUGUGACACAACAUCCUCCGUAAUGUUGUACUGGGGUUGGUCCGGUUCCACCUCCCGGUCGUCGGGGCAUCAGCAAUCUUGGGCAACAAUGCUGAAAUCCUCCUAUCAGCUGUUCUAUUGGCAGACUCAUCAGCCCACCAUUCCCUCCACCUAUGCCUCCCAGUCAACGACCUCCUCCACCACCAGUAUCAGCGGUCGGACCGUAUGAAGGCCCGCUCGCUCCGGCAGCGAGCAGCACCAUAAGGAUACCUCAAGUGCAGCUCUCAUCACUUCCUUCACUGCAACACCCUAUGCUCAAUCGAUGAGGGUGAGCUGGCAAGGUCGAAGUGGUUGGAGAGGGCGAGGUGGCGGUUGUUGUAGGCAACGCGGAUGCGGGGGAUGGCCCUGGUGUCGAGCGAGAGGAGGUGGGCGAGGAUAAAGUGGAGGAUAUAGCGGGGGAUGGGCCUGGCGCCCCCCACGGCUGCGGACAGCUUUGGCUGGUGGCCUUCGGCAUUCAGGCUCGAUGUCUUUCUCCAUCGCCUGAUCACCGUGGAAUCCUCGCUUUAUCUCGUUAGCGGGCGGAGCGUGCGAACAUCGGUUUGCUUGGUCCCUGGUAGCAGCAGCAGUGGAUACAAGAGAUAAAACUUACUUUGAGGGCUAAUUUUUAUUUCAUUCUUAAUAGCCAAAGAUGAUUUAGCACAAUCACUGGGAUUUUCUGUUAAGAUUAUGAGCUAUAAUUAUCUUUUAUAUUUGAUUUGAUUUAGCAUAAUCAGUGAGAUUUUCUAUUAAGAUUAUGCUGUUUCUCUCGAUUGGCCGGUUCGCCAACUUAUGUUAAAAAUACGUUCUUACAUAGACAUUUGAACG
RNAcentral lists this long non-coding RNA (1904 nucleotides) under Elaeis guineensis (African oil palm). RNAcentral's name for it is "long non-coding RNA (EGUI_LNC006409)". The record is from RNAcentral. Lineage: Eukaryota; Viridiplantae; Streptophyta; Magnoliopsida; Arecales; Arecaceae.